RNAcentral lists this ribosomal RNA (361 nucleotides) under uncultured bacterium. Its description in RNAcentral is "partial 16S ribosomal RNA". It matches the Rfam family "Bacterial small subunit ribosomal RNA", at positions 338 to 696 of the family's 1533-position model. The record is from RNAcentral.
CCUACGGGAGGCAGCAGUGAGGAAUAUUGGUCAAUGGGCGCGAGCCUGAACCAGCCAAGUCGCGUGAGGGAGGACGGCCCUACGGGUUGUACACCUCUUUUGCCGGGGAGCAACGGGCGCCACUUGUGGCGUCACUGAGAGUACCCGGAGAAAAAGCAUCGGCUAACUCCGUGCCAGCAGCCGCGGUAAUCCGGAGGGUGCGAGCGUUCUCCGGAGUUAUUGGGUUUAAAGGGUGCUUAGGCGGAUCGUUAAGUCAGUGGUCACAUUGAGGGGCUAAACCCCUUCCCGCCAUUGAAACUGGCGUUCUUGAGUGGAAGAGAAGUAUGCGGAAUGCGUGGUGUAGCGGUGAAAUGCAUAGAUA